This 459-nucleotide ribosomal RNA is filed under the name uncultured bacterium. RNAcentral describes it as "partial 16S ribosomal RNA". It matches the Rfam family "Bacterial small subunit ribosomal RNA", at positions 338 to 795 of the family's 1533-position model. The record is from RNAcentral.
CCUACGGGAGGCAGCAGUGAGGAAUAUUGGUCAAUGGCCGCAAGGCUGAACCAGCCAAGUCGCGUGAGGGAUGACGGUCCUAUGGAUUGUAAACCUCUUUUGUCAGGGAGCAAAGGGCGCCACGUGUGGCGUUUUGCGAGUACCUGAAGAAAAAGCAUCGGCUAACUCCGUGCCAGCAGCCGCGGUAAUACGGGGGAUGCGAGCGUUAUCCGGAUUUAUUGGGUUUAAAGGGUGCGCAGGCGGAAUGUCAAGUCAGCGGUAAAAUUUCGGGGCUCAACCCCGUAGUGCCGUUGAAACUGGCGGUCUUGAGUGAGCGAGAAGUAUGCGGAAUGCGUGGUGUAGCGGUGAAAUGCAUAGAUAUCACGCAGAACUCCGAUUGCGAAGGCAGCAUACCGGCGCUCAACUGACGCUCAUGCACGAAAGCGUGGGUAUCGAACAGGAUUAGAUACCCGGGUAGUC